RNAcentral lists this ribosomal RNA (443 nucleotides) under uncultured bacterium. RNAcentral's name for it is "partial 16S ribosomal RNA". It matches the Rfam family "Bacterial small subunit ribosomal RNA", at positions 338 to 795 of the family's 1533-position model. The record is from RNAcentral.
CCUACGGGGAGCAGCAGUGGGGAAUAUUGGGCAAUGGGCGCAAGCCUGACCCAGCAACGCCGCGUGAAGGAAGAAGGCUUUCGGGUUGUAAACUUCUUUUCUCAGGGACGAAGAAAGUGACGGUACCUGAAGAAUAAGCCACGGCUAACUACGUGCCAGCAGCCGCGGUAAUCCGUAGGUGGCAAGCGUUAUCCGGAUUUAUUGGGUGUAAGGGGCGUGUAGGCGGGAGGGCAAGUCAGAUGUGAAAACUCAGGGCUCAACCCUGAGCCUGCAUUUGAAACUGUGUUUCUUGAGUGCUGGAGCGGCAAUCGGAAUUCCGGGUGUAGCGGUGAAAUGCGUAGAUAUACGGAGGAACACCAGUGGCGAAGGCGGAUUGCUGGACAGUAACUGACGCUGAGGCGCGAAAGCGUGGGGAGCAAACAGGAUUAGAUACCCUUGUAGUC